RNAcentral lists this non-coding RNA (26 nucleotides) under Rattus norvegicus (Norway rat). Lineage: Eukaryota; Metazoa; Chordata; Mammalia; Rodentia; Muridae. The record is from RNAcentral.
UCAGACGUUCUGUGACUCCUGUCCCA